CCCAUUCUAUUAGUACACUUCAACAUGUUCACUUGAUGGCUAAGAUCAUAAGUUAAAAUUAUACACUUUUUAAUUUUAGUCAGGAAGCAGGUUUAGUAGUCUUGUAUUUCUGGGAUUAAAAACUUGGCUAAACCAUGACUUAAAGGUAAGUUUGUGGGGGGUUUUUUUAAAUGGUCUUGCAUAUUUCUGUUCUGCAUACAGUGGUCUAUUUUGAAUGUGCAUAGUAAUGAUGAUGUAGAUUUCAAAAAUUGUCUCUCCCACCCAACCAUAUCUUAAAAUAAUCCAAAACACUGAGAUCUUCUUCAGACUCUGGCAAAUGGAUUUUGUAUCUUCUCUUCUGCCAAGACUGAAUCUGACCUGUGUGUUAAACUGGAAGGCCCAAAUCUGAAAAAGGCUCAGGGUUACUAGGCCAUAGCCAGCAAUAAUAGUAGUACACAAAAAUGGCCCCGGCACGCAUGAGCUUGUGCUCCUGCAAUGUGGUAGAAUGGCAAGUUCUUUAAAGAAAAUUUGCACAGUUUGGAUGAAAGGAUUUAUAAGCCCUUAGUACUACUAUAUUAUAAGUAACUUACCUUGUUAUAUAUAUUCUUUAGUUAUUAACAUACACUAAAGGGACA
Long non-coding RNA from Gopherus evgoodei (Goodes thornscrub tortoise), 614 nucleotides. RefSeq lists it as uncharacterized. The transcript has 3 exons. The record is from RefSeq and is a predicted model, not a curated record. Lineage: Eukaryota; Metazoa; Chordata; Testudines; Testudinidae.